UACGAAGGGGGCUAGCGUUGCUCGGAAUCACUGGGCGUAAAGGGUGCGUAGGCGGGUCUUUAAGUCAGGGGUGAAAUCCUGGAGCUCAACUCCAGAACUGCCUUUGAUACUGAAGAUCUUGAGUUCGGGAGAGGAGAGUGGAAUUCCCAGUGUAGAGGUGAAAUUCGUAGAUAUUGGGAAGAACACCGGUGGCGAAGGCGGCUCUCUGGGACCGAUACUGA
RNAcentral lists this ribosomal RNA (221 nucleotides) under uncultured bacterium. RNAcentral's name for it is "partial 16S ribosomal RNA". It matches the Rfam family "Bacterial small subunit ribosomal RNA", at positions 524 to 743 of the family's 1533-position model. The record is from RNAcentral.